This 253-nucleotide ribosomal RNA is filed under the name uncultured bacterium. Its description in RNAcentral is "partial 16S ribosomal RNA". It matches the Rfam family "Bacterial small subunit ribosomal RNA", at positions 524 to 776 of the family's 1533-position model. The record is from RNAcentral.
UACGUAGGGUGCGAGCGUUGUCCGGAAUUACUGGGCGUAAAGAGCUCGUAGGUGGUUUGUCGCGUUGUUCGUGAAAACUCACAGCUUAACUGUGGGCGUGCGGGCGAUACGGGCAGACUGGAGUACUGCAGGGGAGACUGGAAUUCCUGGUGUAGCGGUGGAAUGCGCAGAUAUCAGGAGGAACACCGGUGGCGAAGGCGGGUCUCUGGGCAGUAACUGACGCUGAGGAGCGAGAGCGUGGGGAGCGAACAGG